CUACUCCGGGAAGGGGUGAGGCAGCACGUGGAAUGGAGGGCCUCUGGAGUGUGGAGUGUCGGAGUUUGGAGGUGAAACUGAUCCUGCAUCCCAGAGGGAAUUUUGGAAGAGGUUUCCGUGGAGGUGAAAACCAAGUGCCUGAAUGGUUUUAUUGCUGAAAGUCCUGAGUCUGGGAAACCUCUCAGUCUUGGAGUUUCCCUCAGAAUGAAAAACAAGGGGAAGCUGACUGGCAGAUGGAGAAACUGAGGCCUGGAGAAUAAAAUAAGCUGCCCAAGGUCGCACAGCUGGUCCUUGCUCAGGUCAGAGAGAUGCUGUUUCUGAUCACCAUUUAAAAUGGCAACCCCUAGGGCUUCCCUGGUGGCGCAGUGGUUGAGAGUCCGCCUGCCGAUGCAGGGGACGUGGGUUCGUGCCCCGGUCCGGGAAGAUCCCACAUGCCGUGGAGCGGCUGGGCCUGUGAGCCAUGGCCGCUGAGCCUGCGCGUCCAGAGCCUGUGCUCCGCAACGGGAGAGGCCAC
This is a long non-coding RNA of Lagenorhynchus albirostris (white-beaked dolphin), 514 nucleotides long. RefSeq lists it as uncharacterized. Lineage: Eukaryota; Metazoa; Chordata; Mammalia; Artiodactyla; Delphinidae. The transcript has 4 exons. The record is from RefSeq and is a predicted model, not a curated record.